Molecule: RNA transcript, 1752 nt
Organism: Lycium barbarum (goji berry)
Lineage: Eukaryota; Viridiplantae; Streptophyta; Magnoliopsida; Solanales; Solanaceae
Gene name: (-)-germacrene D synthase-like
Exons: 5
Source: RefSeq, a predicted model, not a curated record
ACUUUCAAGUCUAGCCAAAAAAUAGGGAAGAUGGAGGUUAACAAUAAUGUUCCUAAAUCAGCUCGUCGGUCUGUAGAUUACCAUCCAAGUGUUUGGGGAGACUAUUUCCUCGCAUAUGAUUCUUCAUCUACGGAGAUUGAUCGUCAUGAGGAAGAAGAAGCUGAACGGCUUAGAAAUGAGGUGAGGAAGAUGCUACUAGCAUCGACACGAAAAUUAGAGCUCAUUGAUAUGGUGCAACGAUUAGGAAUGUCAUAUCAUUUUGAAACCGAUAUUGAGGAAUCACUUAAAAACAUCUACAACAACAGUUGCAGUCAAUUUGAUAAGCUUGAGACCGUUGCUCUUCAAUUUCGAUUAUUAAGACAAGCUGGAUAUAAUGUCUCAUGCGAUGUCUUCGAAACAUUUAAAGAUGAUGAAGGGAAUUUUAAGGAAGCAUUGGUUAGCGACGUUAAAGGAAUUUUGAGCUUGUAUGAAGCAGCACAUCUCGGAGUUGGUGGAGAGAAUAUUUUAGAGGAAGCAUUAACUUUCACUACCAAGUGCCUUAAAUCCAUGGUGCCUAACUUAAGUGGAUAUUUUGUUAAACAAGUAAUUCAUGCCUUAAAGAUGCCAAUUCGCAGAACCUUAGCAAGAGUAGCAACAAGGCAGUACAUAAAUAUUUAUCAAGACAAUCCUGAACAUAAUAAAGUACUGUUACAAUUUGCACGACUAGACUUCAACAUGUUGCAGAAGGUACAUCAGAAAGAGCUAAGUGGUAUUACAAGGUGGUGGAAAGAUUUGGACGUUGAAAGAAAUUUCUCAUUUGCUCGAAAUCGUCUGGUAGAAGCCUAUUUUUGGAUAUUAGGAGUGUACUUUGAGCCUCGAUAUUAUAUUGCGCGAAGAUUCACAACCAAAGUAAUCUCCCUUGCCUCCAUAUUAGACGAUUUGUACGAUGUGUAUGGAACACUCGAUGAACUUGAAAUGUUCACGGAUGCCAUUCAAAGGAGAAGUUUUAACAUAUAAAAUAAUGAGUAUAUAUAUUUUAACAGAUGAUCCAUAUAUGAGUAAACAUUGACUUAGUUCGAAAUUCUUAUUGCACAGAUGGGACAUAAAUGCACCACAGCAGCUACCUCCAUGCCUUAAGCUCCUAUACCAUUAUCUUUUUAAUACUUAUGCUGAAAUGGAAGAGUUGUUGGCAAAGGAAAACAAAUCCUACCGAAUUCUCUAUGCAAAAGCUGAGCUUAAGAAAGUAGUGAAAGCAUAUUAUCAAGAGUUCAAGUGGUAUCAUGCUGGAUAUGUUCCAACAUUUGAGGAGUAUCUGAAAGUUGCACUGGUAACUUCAUGUCAUAUGAUGCUUUCCACAACUUCUUUGGUUGGUAUGGGAGAAUUAGUCACUAAGGAGAACUUUGAGUGGGUUACAAGUGAACCUUCGAUGGUAAAAGCUUCCUGUGUAGUUUGUCGAUUGAUGGAUGACAGGAUUACAUAAGGUAAAAAUAUCCCCUCUGAUUUUCAUUUUCUUCUUCUUUAUCUUAUGGCACUUCCAUGCUCGUGUUUUUAGCAAUUUUUAAGAUCACCUUAAAUUUGUUAGAAACAAAAUUAAUGUAAAACAUUUCUUCCUUUGCUUCUUUUUGGUUUGAUAGAAGCCAUUUCGAGAGUAUGAUUUAUAGAACCUACCCGUCCCUCCUUCAUCCCACAUCUUACUUUAGACCUUUUGUCUUUCUAUUCGGAGGUGUUACUGUUUGAGGGUCAAACAAUUUUUCUUUCACGAUAAUUUUCUCA